GUAUGCAAAUAGCUGUGCUCCCCUGCUGGAACCUCAAGACAAGCUCUCAAGCUCCAUUUGUAGGAAAAUGUAAGGGGACGUCAAGGGUCUCAGACUCCAGAAACAUCCAACUGAGUUGCUGCAUGUGCAGUCUGCCUUUCUU
RNAcentral lists this small nuclear RNA (142 nucleotides) under Ailuropoda melanoleuca (giant panda). Its description in RNAcentral is "7SK RNA". It matches the Rfam family "7SK RNA", at positions 190 to 331 of the family's 331-position model. From Rfam's summary of the family: 7SK was discovered as an abundant small nuclear RNA in the mid-70s but a possible function has only recently been suggested. The record is from Rfam by way of RNAcentral. Lineage: Eukaryota; Metazoa; Chordata; Mammalia; Carnivora; Ursidae.